UACAGCUAGUCAGCUAGCCACUCAUCGGGAAGGUGGCUGGCCAAGUCCAUCUCCAUAGAUCCACCCCACAUCUCCAUCUCCAUAGAUCCACCACACUCCUCCAUCUAAGCAUUUCCAAGCACGCAAGAUACCACUAGUUCACAUGUGCGGCAACGAGGUGGAGCACGACGAUGCAGCGUGAGGCAGGGCACACAGCCAGGAGUAUGGCGGCGUCACCGAGGUGGAGCGAGGCCGACGUAGAGGGCGACGAGGAGUAGGACCGCGUCAUGGAGGUGACAACCACACCAAACAACCAACCAUCAGGGGCAAUGGCUUCUCAUGAUGGAGCACAAGGCGAUUCCUGGGUUAUCGUUGGGAAUUUUUUUACUGAGUGUUCCUUCAUCACCUAAAUGUUGCAUAAAGGGAUAGCAACUCCCCUCUCUUUGCGGCAUUUCAAAGUGUUCUUGAUGAUGAAGAAGAAACUAUGGUGACAUAUUCCACUCAUUAUAGUUGAUUUUUACAUGAUACAAUAUUUGUUUUUUUCCAUGUUUUCAAUUAUUGUUCUUAUGAUCUGUUCACAUCAAGGAUGCAUCUGAGUCUAUCAUAACUGAAGAUUAGUCCGCCAUGCGCUGAAGAAAGAAGAUGAUGCCUAAAAUAAUACCUUUUUCAUUCAUAAUGAGAACUAUGAUGUCCAUAUGUCUCCUGGUUUUACUUGGCAUUAUUUAAUGUUGGACUAUUCAUAUGUCAUUUUGUAAGAAACUAAGACUGAGAAAUUAUGUUGUGAGCAUUUGAAAACUUAUUUAAUGUUGUGCUGUUGUGCAAUGCCAUUUUAAGAGAA
This is a long non-coding RNA of Triticum aestivum (bread wheat), 817 nucleotides long. RefSeq lists it as uncharacterized. Lineage: Eukaryota; Viridiplantae; Streptophyta; Magnoliopsida; Poales; Poaceae. The transcript is spliced from 2 exons. The record is from RefSeq and is a predicted model, not a curated record.